CCAGCAUGGCCGCAGUCAAAUGACUGAAACAAGUAAAAGAAAGAAAGAAUCGUAAAUCAGUUCAACCAAGGACCUAGCUAGCUAAGAUAAAUAGCAUCAAUGUCAACGAACGGCAUGGGAUCGAUGGGAGAUAACUCGUUUAUACUUCCGUUGUCAAUGUGUAGGCAUGUGCUUUUAGCUGAAACCUCCGGCAAGAUUCGAACUAAACUCGCUGCGACUUUGUCGACACAGAAAACCGGCGUUUGUUAUUUUCCUUUCAAAUAUAUUUACAGCAAUUGACAUUUUGCUGAAAAGGGUAACCAUUGGGAGUACUGUUGGGAAGGAAAAGAGAAAGGCUUAGUGAUUUGGUCUUUGCAUGAAUGCCAGAAUACAAAGGAGCCAAGAAAGAUUUACUUUUUGUUGUGGAAAGGUUGCUUGCUGAG
This is a long non-coding RNA of Octopus bimaculoides (California two-spot octopus), 422 nucleotides long. The record is from RefSeq and is a predicted model, not a curated record. NCBI's taxonomy places the organism in Eukaryota, Metazoa, Mollusca, Cephalopoda, Octopoda, Octopodidae.